This 401-nucleotide long non-coding RNA is filed under the name Mytilus galloprovincialis (Mediterranean mussel). Lineage: Eukaryota; Metazoa; Mollusca; Bivalvia; Mytilida; Mytilidae. The record is from RNAcentral.
CGAAACCGCAAUAUAUCUCAUUGAAUAUAUAAGGAAAAUUAAAAAAAAAUAAUUUGAUACAAGUAAGGUAUCAUAAAUACCUUAUAUGAUCUUACAUAAAUUUCGAAUUCCAUGGGGUGUAGCAGUGGGGACUUCUGACUGCCGUAACAGUGAUUCCAUAAACAAUCAACUUAUUGUUUCAACAAAAUGGAGGUCCAUGUCCACACCCAUCCCCUUUUAUGAAAGAAAUCCACCUCUGGGUAGGUCUUAAAACUUUUUGAUUUUGUUCCUGUAAGUGAAAAAAAUGUAGGGUAUGCCCCACAUCUUAAAAAAAAAAAAAAAAAACUAAAUUGAAAAUUCAAAUGCCCCCAACCACCCCCCAAAAAAACCCCAAAAAACCAAGAAAAAAACCCGAACCACAC